Molecule: ribosomal RNA, 231 nt
Filed under: uncultured bacterium
Lineage: Bacteria
Description: partial 16S ribosomal RNA
Rfam family: Bacterial small subunit ribosomal RNA
Source: RNAcentral
UCCUAGCAGUAAACGAUGUGCAUUUUGUCGGUGGAAGUUCGAUCUUCUGCCUGCCGAAGCGAAAGCGUUAAACGCACCACCUGGGGAGUACGAUCGCAAGAUUAAAACUCAAAGGAAUUGACGGGGGCUUGCACAAGCGGUGGAGGAUGUGGUUUAAUUUGAUGAUACGCGGAGAACCUUACCUGGGUUUGACAUUCUAGGAUUAAUUCUAUGAAAGUAGAAGGAUUUCCC